RNAcentral lists this unclassified non-coding RNA (250 nucleotides) under plant metagenome. RNAcentral's name for it is "partial contains small subunit ribosomal RNA, internal transcribed spacer 1, and 5.8S ribosomal RNA". The record is from RNAcentral.
GUAGGUGAACCUGCGGAAGGAUCAUUAUCGGAACUCGACGUGCUUCGGCGCUGCGAGAUGUACACGCGAAGGAAACUCGAAACGAUCUCUUCGUCGACUUACGGGGUGAUGCCCGGAGUCCGAAGCGGUCGGGCCGGCCGAGGCGAAGCAUCUUUGCGUCUCGUCGGUUGUAUUCAGUGGAUGUAUUCUUGUAGGCCCGUGAGGGUGCCGUUACGUCGGCUUAAUAAAACGCACUGCAUCGCGGCGUUUG